UUAAUUAGCUGCAUUAUUUGACGUUUAGCGACGAGAAGAAGACACCGGCUAACUCCGUGCCAGCAGCCGCGGAAUACGGAGGGUGCGAGCGUUAAUCGGAAUUACUGGGCGUAAAGCGCAUGCAGGUGGUUUGUUAAGUCAGAUGUGAAAGCCCGGGGCGUCAACCUCGGAAUAGCAUUUGAAACUGGCAGACUAGAGUACUGUAGAGGGGGGUAGGAAUUUCAGGUGUAGCGGUGAAAUGCGUAGAGAUCUGAAGGAAUACCGGUGGCGAAGGCGGCCCCCUCGGACAGAUACUGACACUCAGAUGCGAAAGCGUGGGGAGCAAACAGGAUUAGAUACCCUGGUAG
This 347-nucleotide ribosomal RNA is filed under the name uncultured bacterium. RNAcentral's name for it is "bacterial SSU rRNA". It matches the Rfam family "Bacterial small subunit ribosomal RNA", at positions 452 to 793 of the family's 1533-position model. The record is from RNAcentral.